This 389-nucleotide ribosomal RNA is filed under the name uncultured bacterium. Its description in RNAcentral is "bacterial SSU rRNA". It matches the Rfam family "Bacterial small subunit ribosomal RNA", at positions 28 to 419 of the family's 1533-position model. The record is from RNAcentral.
GACGAACGCUGGCGGCGUGCUUAACACAUGCAAGUCGAGCGGUAAGGCCCUUUCGGGGGUACACGAGCGGCGAACGGGUGAGUAACACGUGGGUGACCUGCCCUCAGCUCUGGGAUAAGCCCGGGAAACUGGGUCUAAUACCGGAUAUGACUCCACGGUGCAUGUCGUGGGGUGGAAAGCCUUGUGCGGCUGAGGAUGGGCCCGCGGCCUAUCAGCUUGUUGGUGGGGUGAUGGCCACCAAGGCGACGACGGGUAGCCGGCCUGAGAGGGCGACCGGCCACACUGGGACUGAGACACGGCCCAGACUCCUACGGGAGGCAGCAGUGGGGAAUCUUGCGCAAUGGGCGAAAGCCUGACGCAGCGACGCCGCGUGAGGGAUGACGGCCUGG